GAUGAAGAACGCAGCGAAAUGCGAUAAGUAGUGUGAAUUGCAGAAUUCAGUGAAUCAUCGAAUCUUUGAACGCACAUUGCGCCUCCUGGCAUUCCGGGAGGCAUGCCUGUUCGAGCGUCAUCAAACCCCAUCGUGCAAAUGAAUUAUUUUUUUUGCGCGGAAGUGACGAUUGAGCGAGAAUAACAAAUCCUCUCGCACCUCGUCGAAAUGAUUGCGGGCGGAAUUUGGGAUCGGGUUCCUCGGCGUAGUGUAUCAAUGCAUAUUUAUGCAACUUGCCGCGGAGUUGAGCCUGACCCACGCGUUCUCGCCGUACAAACACCUCAUUACUUUACAAGUUUUUGCCCUCGGAUCAGGUAGGGAUACCCGCUGAACUUAAGCAUAUCAAUAAGCGGAGGA
Molecule: unclassified non-coding RNA, 396 nt
Filed under: soil metagenome
Description: partial contains 5.8S ribosomal RNA, internal transcribed spacer 2, and large subunit ribosomal RNA
Rfam family: 5.8S ribosomal RNA (bases 1-120)
Source: RNAcentral